This 295-nucleotide ribosomal RNA is filed under the name uncultured Gammaproteobacteria bacterium. RNAcentral describes it as "partial 16S ribosomal RNA". It matches the Rfam family "Bacterial small subunit ribosomal RNA", at positions 1103 to 1397 of the family's 1533-position model. The record is from RNAcentral. Lineage: Bacteria; Pseudomonadati; Pseudomonadota; Gammaproteobacteria.
CCUUGUCCUUAGUUACCAGCACGUUAUGGUGGGCACUCUAAGGAGACUGCCGGUGACAAACCGGAGGAAGGUGGGGAUGACGUCAAGUCAUCAUGGCCCUUACGGCCUGGGCUACACACGUGCUACAAUGGUCGGUACAGAGGGUUGCCAAGCCGCGAGGUGGAGCUAAUCUCACAAAACCGAUCGUAGUCCGGAUCGCAGUCUGCAACUCGACUGCGUGAAGUCGGAAUCGCUAGUAAUCGCGAAUCAGAAUGUCGCGGUGAAUACGUUCCCGGGCCUUGUACACACCGCCCGU